Non-coding RNA from Fusarium venenatum, 120 nucleotides. The record is from RefSeq and is a predicted model, not a curated record. NCBI's taxonomy places the organism in Eukaryota, Fungi, Ascomycota, Sordariomycetes, Hypocreales, Nectriaceae.
ACAUACGACUAUACCUGCCAGAAAAUACGAGAUCCCGUCCGCUCUCCCAUCGUCAAGCUCGCAAGGGGUGGAUUAGUAGUUGGUUCGGUGACGACCAGCCAAUACCCGCUGUUGUAUGUU